CCUACGGGAGGCAGCAGUGAGGAAUAUUGGUCAAUGGACGAGAGUCUGAACCAGCCAAGUAGCGUGAAGGAUGACUGCCCUAUGGGUUGUAAACUUCUUUUAUAUGGGAAUAAAGUGUUCCACGUGUGGGAUUUUGUAUGUACCAUAUGAAUAAGGAUCGGCUAACUCCGUGCCAGCAGCCGCGGUAAUACGGAGGAUCCGAGCGUUAUCCGGAUUUAUUGGGUUUAAAGGGAGCGUAGGUGGAUUGUUAAGUCAGUUGUGAAAGUUUGCGGCUCAACCGUAAAAUUGCAGUUGAAACUGGCAGUCUUGAGUAUAGUAGAGGUGGGCGGAAUUCGUGGUGUAGCGGUGAAAUGCUUAGAUAUCACGAAGAACUCCGAUUGCGAAGGCAGUUCACUGGACUGCAACUGACACUGAGGCUCGAAAGUGUGGGUAUCAAACAGGAUUAGAUACCCCAGUAGUC
Molecule: ribosomal RNA, 460 nt
Filed under: uncultured bacterium
Lineage: Bacteria
Description: partial 16S ribosomal RNA
Rfam family: Bacterial small subunit ribosomal RNA
Source: RNAcentral